This 72-nucleotide transfer RNA is filed under the name Apophysomyces ossiformis. It matches the Rfam family "tRNA". From Rfam's summary of the family: Transfer RNA (tRNA) molecules are approximately 80 nucleotides in length. Their secondary structure includes four short double-helical elements and three loops (D, anti-codon, and T loops). Further hydrogen bonds mediate the characteristic L-shaped molecular structure. tRNAs have two regions of fundamental functional importance: the anti-codon, which is responsible for specific mRNA codon recognition, and the 3' end, to which the tRNAs corresponding amino acid is attached (by aminoacyl-tRNA synthetases). tRNAs cope with the degeneracy of the genetic code in two manners: having more than one tRNA (with a specific anti-codon) for a particular amino acid; and 'wobble' base-pairing, i.e. permitting non-standard base-pairing at the 3rd anti-codon position. Lineage: Eukaryota; Fungi; Mucoromycota; Mucoromycetes; Mucorales; Mucoraceae. The record is from Rfam by way of RNAcentral.
UCCUCAGUGGUCCAGUGGUCAGGAUUUCGGUCUCUCACACCGACGGCCGGGGUUCGAUUCCCCGCUGGGGAA